AGCUUUGUGCAGUGACAGUAUCAUAGACAAUGAGGUUUAUCUGAGCCACGAUUAUUGCUAAUUGACAACUUUUCCCAGAAAAUCAUUCCCUGUUUGAUGUACUUUAUUGUGAAGGAUCUCAAAUUUGUACUUUCAUAAAG
Heterocephalus glaber (naked mole-rat) is the source of this 140-nucleotide small nuclear RNA. Its record names the gene U4. It matches the Rfam family "U4 spliceosomal RNA". From Rfam's summary of the family: U4 small nuclear RNA (U4 snRNA) is a component of the major U2-dependent spliceosome. The structure of U4 snRNA from yeast and human has been reported. U4 snRNA presents a k-turn RNA motif in the 5p-SL related to recognition of Snu13 protein. NCBI's taxonomy places the organism in Eukaryota, Metazoa, Chordata, Mammalia, Rodentia, Bathyergidae. The record is from Ensembl.